UACAGAGGUCUCGAGCGUUGUUCGGAUUCAUUGGGCGUAAAGGGUGCGUAGGUGGCUAGGUAAGUCAGAUGUGAAAUCCCGGGGCUCAACCCCGGAACUGCAUUCGAUACUGCCUGGCUAGAGUACUGGAGAGGAGAUUGGAAUUUACGGUGUAGCAGUGAAAUGCGUAGAUAUCGUAAGGAAGACCAGUGGCGAAGGCGGAUCUCUGGACAGUUACUGACACUGGGGCACGAAGGCCAGGGGAGCAAACGGG
RNAcentral lists this ribosomal RNA (253 nucleotides) under uncultured bacterium. RNAcentral describes it as "partial 16S ribosomal RNA". It matches the Rfam family "Bacterial small subunit ribosomal RNA", at positions 524 to 776 of the family's 1533-position model. The record is from RNAcentral.